UACUGGGGAUUGAACCCAGGACCUUCUGCAUGCCAAGCAUAUGCUCUGCCACUUGAGCUAUAACCCCCCCCAACUCAGGUAGAUUUUUCAGUGUCUUGAAAAAUGAUUAUGAAUCAUCAAAAAUUUCCAAAUUAUCCUGGCACAAAAAUAGAUGCCUUCCAUCAAUGUUGGGUUUCCUUUCUUUUCAAGAAUAUAGCUAGACCAUGUUUGGAAUCCCCUUUGCCUUCUGUCUCUGGACCUGUUUCCAGAAUUCCAAAGCCCUUGCUAAAAAUGCACAUUUCCCAGGUCUACUCCCAGGAAAUUCUGAUCUAAGAGGUUGGAGGUGGGGCAUGGGAACAUUUUUUAACAAAUCCGUCAAGUGAUUCUUAAAGUCACACAACACUGCUUGAAAGCAAUGGUUCUCAAACCUGAUUUACUUAGGCAGCUUGAAAAAGAAAAACCUUGAUCUCUGGUUCCCACCUCAAACCAGCGUAACCAGAGCCUCCGGUGGCAGGACCUUUUGUAAAAGUCCUCAGGUGGUUUUCAUGGACGUCUAAGAUUGAGACUCACUGCUCUCAAAUAACAUUCAAGUGAAUAUUAAAACAGCUGCAGGAAUAAAGGCUGUGGGAUAAUAACUUUUUUUCACCUCUCAUGUUUUUUUUUUUAAGAUAAAAGACAUUAAAUUUGAGCAAGUGUAUUACAAUCAGAACAUUUUAGUAUGAGACAGAUAUUCUAUAGAAUCAAAUUGAGUACCAGAGAUUCAGAAUUUCUGGGAUGGAAAAAGUCAGUCUCUAGACUUCUUCAAGAAAUUUACCCAUAUACUCUCUGGGCCUUUUAAAUCAUGUACAGUUCACUCUGGUAGCUGGUGAGCAACAGACUACGACCUGCAGAUGGGAUGCAAAUUACCAGGUGAAGUAAGUAGAGAAACGUGGAAGCGAGAUUUAAGGUUAAUUGCGGUAGAAUUUAAAAUUACGGUCGUGAGCAGACUUAAUUAUUCACCAUUCUUUCUGGCUUCCGGAAAAGUUUCUGCACAGGUGUAUUUACCUAGGUGAUCUCCAGUGUGGCGACUCGUAAUUGUACACCUCAGAUUUUGGAAAAUGCUGAAAGAGCCAGGGUCUGAUAAUGACACAAGGAGAUGUUGGCAGACUGUCAUGCCUCUUGAUUUCAGGGAGUUUAGCUUUAUUCUUUUCAAUGAAGUACAUAGUUGAGGAAGAUCCAGUACCAGAUGGCAAUGUUGGCUAGGAGAGCUUUUUCUCACCUACAUUUUGGCAGCUCUGCUCAGACGUGAUGCUUUCCAUGCGUGGGACUUCCGGGCUACACUACUUAACGUGAUCGCUGGGAAGCUUUAGGUGGUAUAGAUGCAGUGGCGCAUCUCAUUAAAGGUCCCAGAACUAUGAACAUCUGACAUCUGUGCUAGAAAUGCAACUGGAUACCAUCUUCAAGUGGUUAUAGACUCAAGUGCAGGUGCCACGUACCAGUUAAACAAAGACACUCGUUUCUGGGACCCACACUCCUGAAGGCCGUAGGCGCCCAGGGGGCAGACGAUGGCUCUGACCCCUCCUGUGCCGAGGCAGAUGGCCGACAGUGCUGCGUAAAACAGCCUCUUCCGCUCCGUUUCCGCUUGAGAGAAAACUCAGCCUCAGACAUCUCGGAAGCCUAUUAAACAAGACAUUUUAAGAAGGACGAUUACUGUCAUUAGAGGAGAACAUGGCAUCUCUUUUCAGUUUUUACUUCCCUUUCUCCUUUUAAAGCCCCUUUUACUUCUGUUACUCCUCUUGCCUUACCUGCAGGCACAGUUGUUAGCUCUGAAAAUGUCACGUGAGGCCUGGCCGGGCUAAGGGUUCUCCAAAGAGGAUUGACAGAGGAACUGCUUCCUGCAGGAGCCGUUUAUUUAAAGACAAAGUACUUUUAGUGGAACCUUUAUAUAAAUUCAAAAGGCACUUUACUUCCAUCUUUUGAAAAAGAGUCAUAAUAUACUGAUUUCAAUAGAUCAGAACUUUAUUUCUAUCUGCUAUAAAAUGGAUGUAAUAAAAAUACAAGUCUAUGACAUACAUGAUAAAAAGAUUUCUCUUGGUGUGCGCUCUUGUGCCGUGCAUAAUCAGCGCACCUAUGCUUGGUGGCUCUGUAUAAAGCACCAUGAUGUGUCAUAGCCCUUGUUAAGUGGCGGGGUGGGGUGCAGAUAGCAGUCCUGUGGCUCCUCCCUUCAGGAGCUAGUGAAUCCAUCAGAGAAGGCAGACAUGCAGGUGGACAAUCAUAAAGUGGCAAAUGCAAUUAUAUAUGUUUGGUCAGAGUGUGGUUGAGCAUGGAGAAGCUAGCAACAAACACUCCGUGAGUCUUCAAGGAAGAGCCAGGAGUUUUGCAGACUUGGAUAUGGGAUGGAAAGAUAAAGGAAGGUGACAGUUUCAGGCAGGAAAAAAAGAGCCUAUGUAACAUUAGAAAAGUAGGGAAGCGGGCAAGGUGAAGCUCAGCAUGUUUGGGGCUGCGUGUAGAGACAGAAGUCUGGAGAGGUAAAUUUGGGACCGGUUGUAAAGGUUCUUAGAUACCAAACUGGCUUUUAUUAUUAUUAUUAUUAUUUUUGGAUAAUAGAGCCAAUGUAUAGAUUUAUUCUUGCAGGGAGUCAAUGCUAUUGGUAGAAAGGUAUGCAUACUGCAGUCACGCUGAUGACUUGACAGCCAGUAAGGAGGCCAUUGUGAUAGCCAAGGAAAAGAAGGCUGCAUUUUUGAGCUAAGGUAAUAGCAAUUCAGACAGAAGACACAUUUUUGAUAGAACCUCUGAUGCCUAGUGGUUGGUGACACUGAUGACAGCCAUGAGUGGGGGACACCAGGAAAUAACUUUGAGGAAGAAACUGAACAGGACAUGAAAUUGACUUGUCUUUUGUUUGCCUAAUCCCAAAGUUGGGAUUUCUGUUUGAGUGUAAUGACUUACACGGGAAUUUAGACUCAUAGGAAUCACCAUGUUCAACGAGAGGUUGAACGCUACUGACAUGGCUUGUUAGCAGGUUAAGAAAAGUAAGUCCCUCAGGCCCUUGCUUAAAUGUCUCCUGAUGGGAUGCAGAAGAGCAGCCUUGUCACUGGCUAGUCCAUCCCGAUCCCUUACGCAGCUUUGUUUUCCAUCAUCACACAUUACUACCCAACGUAACAGCCAUUUACUUGACUAUCUCCUGUCUCCGCACACCAGAAAGUCAACUUCGGAGAAAUACAGACUGCUUUCUUCUCUGCUGCGUUCCAGAUCCUGGAACAAAACCUAACGGAGUAGCCCAAGCGAAAUAUUUGUUGGAUGUUGAACGAAUAUUCGCCAUGCAGUGACUUAGUUUUUAUGUCACAGACUGAAGCAGUGAAGAAGUUUACGAGCGUAAAUCAAUCUCUCAUGGCUUCAGUGAGUGGUGCUUCACCACCUGCCUGGAACUGGGUGAUGCGCCGAGUCCCUGAUACCCGUCCCUUCAUCAUUCGUCUCCCCUGCCCCUCAGACUGCAUUUCAGCUGCACAUGUCAGGGUUGGUGAACAGCACUUUACCUUUCUAAGUUCCUCGGCUCAGAACUUGGAGUUAAUUUUUGUUCUUCCAUCAUAUUUGUGCCCUUAUUUAGUUGACAAGGUUUGUAUCGUUUGACUUUUUUUUUCCUGGAUUGACUUCUCCAUUGCCUACACCAGCAUCCUGAGAUUUUUCUGGUCUCUGUCUAACCUCUCACUGCGAUUGUCCAUCCUGUUUAUUGAAGAAAAGCAUUUCCCAGAUGUGUUCAUCUUAUCUUCAACGACGCCUCCUUGUCUAGAAGAGCAACUUGAACUUCUCAGCCUAAAUUUCUAUACUGUUCAUCCACUUGAUCUCUAUACCUUGUCAGACAAAUUUGGUAUUCCACCCCCAGCAUUCUCCACAAUCACUUCACUCCCAAACUGUUGUAGACACAGUUCUUUUUCGCUAUGUAAAGAAGCACAGCGUAGUGUUUAAAUUCAUUUAUUUUUUAGCAUGUAGCCAUAGUUCAUAAUACGGAAAUCACAUCUUCAUAUGCAGCCUUAAUUACUAAAUGACUAAUUAAAAGACCACCUCUUGAUGAAAGCAUUUCUCAGUUAUUCUGCAUGAACUUCAGAACACCUUUUUAGCACAUUUCACUUGCAUUGUGAAGCAAAUGAACUUCAUAUUUCACAUAGACUUUGUCACAAAUUUGGGCUGGUGAUAGGAAGUAGGGUAAAGGAGGGCAUUCAUAAAGUACAGAAGACAGACAUUUAGAGACAAUUACUAAAAAUAUAAUCAGUGCCAUGAUAUAGGUACCAAGCACCCUCUAAUACACGCACACACACGCUUACUAGUAGCCCUCAACUAAUACACAGAAUAAAAUACAUUGAAACAUUGUUAGCUGAUUUAUUACAUUUUAUGCUACAAGCAAGGUGGAAAUAACGUAAACCAAAUAUUCUAAUCAAAAUCUACUCAAAUAUGUUGUAAAACAACCCUGUCAGGAGAGGGUACUCACCUAGAAAAUGCAGAAAUAAGCAAAUCUGUACCAGUUUGUUUCUUCCUAGGCAGACAUCAGCAAGCCAUCCUGCAAACACAGGGGUAAGGACUGAAGUUCCAAUAAAACACAAGUUCAAAAUGGCGGCCUGGUCAUUGCGGUAGCCAAGCUUGACGGUGCAAAAGGGGAUCAUAUUGCAGACGACUUCGAAAAAGGUGAACCUUUCACACAGCUCCACCAGAAGCAAACAGAUUCCAACCUGAAUUUUUCUCACAGAGUGUGAUGAGGAGAAAUCUCCGGAAUUUUAAUCAUAAGUGGAAUGACCCAAGAUUGGACAUGGUGGACGCUGAGUGAGAUAGCAGUACGCCGAAGGGGAUUCCCCAUGUGGCCCCGAUGGAGAACUCAGGGCCACCCCAGUUUUUACCCUUCAGGAGGUAUGCCUAGUUUUUCCUUCACUAAAGGACUCAAUUUCCAAUCAGUUUUGGUUUAAAUUUGCCCCAUUUGGUUUCUGCACCUUCCAAGAAGCCUCAGUGAUACUUUGUUGUUGUUACCCCAGAGGCAAGGGAAAGCUGGUCACCAGCCGUGUAGCCAGGACCUGGCAAAGGACUCCGGCAGUGUGAUUUCACAAGCAGGGUGGCGCCACCUCCUCCCAGGGCCCGAUGAUAAUUGCGUUUCAGUUCUUUGGUUCCUCUCUGCAUCCUUGCCCAAGAACAGGCCACAGGUGGUGGGAACCCCUGGGGCUUGGGGGUAAUUACGUCAUGGAGGGCAACAAUGUUUGCUAAAUAGAUUUGAAACAAUAGGAAAUCACCUCUUUCUUUUUGGUAUUUCUCAAUACUCAGAAUGGGCUCAAAACACAAGUACAUACCAACUCCCGUUGAGAAUAACACUUGGCAGGGAAUACUGAAUACCAUCUUGGUUAACACACUUGAGCCCUUAAGUGGGAAAUUAUGCAUACUUUAGUUUUAUGCAACCCUACCCUGUCCCCUACAGCCUCAGGCUUGUUCUCCAUCCCUGUCCCUCCCCAUUCUUGCUGCCCUUAAUAAAGAGAUAUUUGUCCUCCGUUACAGAAGCAAUGUAUGCACGUUAGAUCCAAUUUGGAAACUGUCUAAAAAUAGAAGAAGAAAACAAACAGUGUAUGUUUUUGAAGCAUUUCUUUUGAUGUUUCCCCUUGAUGGCUACUUUUUAUUAGUAGGCUGUAAAUAUUUAAAUUGUAUAAUUGUAUACAAUUACUGUAUAAUAUGUUUUCCACCCCCUUUUGUAGGUAACGUUAUAAGCACUUUAACAUACCAUUGUGAAGUCUUUGUAAACAUGAAUUUUUAUGGUUGCAUUAAUAGAUAGACACUUGGUUCACUUAACUCUUCCUCCAUUUUGGGUUCAUUACAUUUGUCUCAGAUCAGUUAUAAGCCAGUCUUUCUUUAACUUUGGACCUUGAACCCACAUUUAAGGGAAAAAAGUGUUUAUCAGCAAUGCUAGAAUGAAUAUUUGUGCAUAAAGCUUCCCAUUCCCAGAUUAUACCCUUAAGCUAGUUUUUCAGAAACAAUAUUACUGGGUUAAAGUGUGGGAAAGUUUUUAGGCAUCUUGAUACAUAAUGUCAACUUGCAAUACAAACUUCAGGCAUUUUUUUAAAAAUUAAAAAACGUGUUUUGUUUUUGGAAUGUAAAAACUGUACUUAUCACCAGAAGUCUUCACCAGAAAACCAUACUAUCACCAGACAAAAGUCGUAAGUCAACGUGUGGGGUCAUAAUGUUAACCAUACUUGUAGAUAUUGAAACAUGUGUCUUAUUUCAUAGAGAAAAUUAAUCAGAAGCCUAUUUGAUGAACUAAUGACCAUCCAUGAUUUUUCUGAGCAUCCAGAGCCCGAAUGCAUCAGAUCCCACAAAGUUGCAUUUGGAACAUACCAGAAAUGUAAGCUCUGCUUUUGAGGAGUCUAUUUUUUUUUUAACAAUGCAGGAUUGAAAAGAAUUUCUAUAAACUAAUCUCAAGUUAAUUAUGAAUUUUGAAAAAACUGUAGUGUCUUCUGAAAUAGUUUUACAGUGUGUUUCUGUAACCCUUUCGAGUUUUAUAUGUAUUUACAGAAUAAUUUUUCAUAGGUCCUCUAAAUGCUUUAUUAAACAUUUUUAAGGGAGGCUUUUCUAGCUCAGUAACUAUAAAUGGUAGGCACAGAGGUCAGUAGGAGAUAUUUAUUCUUUUAGGCCAAUUGAUUCCAUUUAAUUCCACUGAUGGUGAGAUUUGGUUGGUGGCCUGAAAGCAUUGUCAAGAACACAGGGAUGGGAAUUGGCCUCACUAUAAUUUAACUGUUAAAAAUUGUGCAUCAAUACUAGUUGGAGUGAAAUUUUUGCUUCAUCGUCAGGUUGUCAAGUAGAAAUGGAAAGGUGCGUAUUGGGCUAUGGAUUUGAUUUGGAGAAAAGAUGUUUUCUGGGUUAACCGCUACUCCUCUUUUAUAAAGAAGCUCUGGCAAUUGUAUGAUUAUCUCUACCUCAACCCUUCUGUCAAGUGUGAAGGAGAAUUACUUCUGUCCCCUGCAGAUAAUAGCUCAGACAGUCCCAAGAAUGUAGAAAAUGUCCCAUCCUUUUCCUUUCUCUGAGGAUAACCAAAAAUGAAGGCCAUUGCACUCCUAAGGAGUUUUUCUUCCACUGUGCAAGGACUGUUACUAUGAAUCUUGCUAUUGCGUUGAACUUGACAUGGAAGGUGUGUCUGUAUAAAGUUAAGUCAGGUGGGAAUGAGUUACUGCUUGUCCAUUGUGAUAGUUCAUUUUAUGUUCCACUUGGCUGAGCCACAGUGCCCAGAUGUUUGGUCAAACAUUAUUCUGGAUGUUUCUGUGAAGGUGUUUUUGGAUGAGAUUGACAUUUCGAUCAGAAAUUUUGAGUAAAGCAGAUUGCUUUGUCCAAUCCAUUGAAGACCUGAGGAGAACAAAAGCUGGUUCCCCCGGAGCAAGAGGGAACACUCCAGCAGAUUGCCUUUGAACUUUACCUGUCACGUUGGCUCUUCCAAAAUUUCCAGCAGACUUCCUCUGGACUUGAACUCAAACUCUCUUCUGAGUCUCCAUCCUGCCAGCCUCUUCAGUCAGACUUUGGACUCAACGAGCCUCCAUAAUCACGUGAGACAAUUCCUUAAAAUAAAAUUCUUACUGUAUAUUUGUACACCCUA
Molecule: non-coding RNA, 7567 nt
Organism: Vicugna pacos (alpaca)
Lineage: Eukaryota; Metazoa; Chordata; Mammalia; Artiodactyla; Camelidae
Source: RefSeq, a predicted model, not a curated record